AUACGGAGGAUGCAAGCGUUAUCCGGAUUUAUUGGGUUUAAAGGGUGCGUAGGCGGUUCGGAAAGUCAGGGGUGAAAGCCCGGCGCCUAACGCCGGAACUGCCUUUGAUACUUCCGAGCUGGAAUACGGAUGCCGUGGGAGGAAUGAGUAGUGUAGCGGUGAAAUGCAUAGAUAUUACUCAGAACACCGAUUGCGAAGGCAUCUCACGAAUCCGUCAUUGACGCUGAGGCACGAAAGCGUGGGGAUCAAACAGGAUUAGAUACCCUGUAGUCCACGCAGUAAACGAUGAUGACUAACCGUCGGCGAUACACAGUCGGUGGCCAAGCGAAAGCGAUAAGUCAUCCACCUGGGGAGUACGUUCGCAAGAAUGAAACUCAAAUGAAUUGACGGGG
RNAcentral lists this ribosomal RNA (392 nucleotides) under uncultured bacterium. Its description in RNAcentral is "partial 16S ribosomal RNA". It matches the Rfam family "Bacterial small subunit ribosomal RNA", at positions 523 to 918 of the family's 1533-position model. The record is from RNAcentral.